AAGAUCAUACUUCACAGGAUCAUUUCUGUAGUAUAUCUUCGCAUACUCUCUACUCAAACGUAGAGUUGUCGCAAUCGCGAUGACGAGGUGUGGUUUUGUAUCCUGAGCGUGAGGCAGGUGUUUAUUGAACUUCCAAAGUUCUUUACCACCAUCGAUGAUCGUUCACCUGAUUCAAUUUUGAGUCGGGCAAUGGGUGCAAAACGAUCUGAGCGAU
Small nucleolar RNA from Aethina tumida (small hive beetle), 214 nucleotides. RefSeq annotates it as small nucleolar RNA U3. Lineage: Eukaryota; Metazoa; Arthropoda; Insecta; Coleoptera; Nitidulidae. The record is from RefSeq and is a predicted model, not a curated record. The transcript has a single exon.